Molecule: long non-coding RNA, 599 nt
Organism: Alosa sapidissima (American shad)
Lineage: Eukaryota; Metazoa; Chordata; Actinopteri; Clupeiformes; Clupeidae
Exons: 4
Source: RefSeq, a predicted model, not a curated record
UGCGUUUCCCAAAAGCAUCGUUGCUAACUACGGUAGCAACUAACAUGGUUGCAACUACGUAAGUACGACACAACUGUUCCCCAAAACGAUAGUGUGAACUAUAGUGGUGGAACUUACAUAGUACGAUGCAUCGUGACACUGCGUCAGUGUUUCCCAAAACCAUAGUAGCAACUAACGUUCGCAACCACUAUCGUAAAGUUGUGUAGUUACAGCUACACCUCUCGACCUGUAGUAUGUAGUAAGAACCAUAGUAGACGACGUAACCCUGAUGACGGAACACGCAGAGGACAGAUGGAUGAGAGCCCAUUAUGAUGUGGUGAAGUGACUGUGCUGUGGCAGAGACUGUAGCGUGUGUGCUUUACAUGAGAGAGGUCAGGGGUUCAAGACUGAGUCGAUGGGUGUGAGGUAUGGGUAGGCCUGUCAUGGGAGGCGGAAAAAUGGCCAGCAGGAAGGUGUGCAGCAGCCACUGGAAUGACCUCUUCCACCUCCUCCACUAACAGCUCCUCAUCAGCCGGCAGUGGGAUGUGAUCCUGAAGGGCCAUGUUGCAGAAGCGCCGCCACCAAAACUACACUGCACGCUUUUGCAGGAUGGAGCUUCA